AUGCUCGCUUAGGCAGCACAUAUAUGGAAAUUGGAACAAUACAGAAAAGAUUAGCAUAGCCCCUGCACAAGGAUGACACACAAAUUCAUGAAGCAUUCCAUAUUUUU
Molecule: small nuclear RNA, 107 nt
Organism: Balaenoptera acutorostrata (minke whale)
Lineage: Eukaryota; Metazoa; Chordata; Mammalia; Artiodactyla; Balaenopteridae
Source: RefSeq, a predicted model, not a curated record